UGGGGAAUAUUGCACAAUGGGCGAAAGCCUGAUGCAGCAACGCCGCGUGAGUGAUGAAGGCCUUCGGGUUGUAAAGCUCUGUCUUUUGGGACGAUAAUGACGGUACCAAAGGAGGAAGCCACGGCUAACUACGUGCCGGCAGCCGCGGUAAUACGUAGGUGGCAAGCGUUGUCCGGAUUUACUGGGCGUAAAGGAUGCGUAGGCGGAUUUUUAAGUGAGAUGUGAAAUACCCGGGCUUAACUUGGGUGCUGCAUUUCAAACUGGGAAUCUAGAGUGCGGGAGAGGAGAAUGGAAUUCCUAGUGUAGCGGUGAAAUGCGUAGAGAUUAGGAAGAACACCAGUGGCGAAGGCGAUUCUCUGGACCGUAACUGACGCUGAGGCAUGAAAGCGUGGGUAGCAAACAGGAUUAGAUACCCUGGUAGUCCACGCCGUAAACGAUGAGUACUAGGUGUAGGAGGUAUCGACCCCUUCUGUGCCGCAGUUAACACAAUAAGUACUCCGCCUGGGAAGUACGAUCGCAAGAUU
RNAcentral lists this ribosomal RNA (524 nucleotides) under uncultured bacterium. RNAcentral's name for it is "partial 16S ribosomal RNA". It matches the Rfam family "Bacterial small subunit ribosomal RNA", at positions 355 to 895 of the family's 1533-position model. The record is from RNAcentral.